Long non-coding RNA from Vulpes vulpes (red fox), 1798 nucleotides. The record is from Ensembl. Lineage: Eukaryota; Metazoa; Chordata; Mammalia; Carnivora; Canidae.
GGUGGGUGGGGCGCGGCUCGCUCUCCCCCGCGCACCUGCCCAGGCCAAGAGCCACCCCAGGACCUGGGCGCCGGGGGCGUGGGGCCGGCAGCCCCGAAAGUUAAGCGGGGGGUUGACACGCAGGCUGCCGGGCCGUGGGCAAGAAGCGCAAGGCCCUUCCCACAGCCCUUCCCACAGCCCCGCCAAGGCCCGGUGAGCCUUGAAGAGCGCAGAACCGAGCGGGUCCUCUCUCCGGGAAGCAAAAACAAAGCCCUUACACACUUGAAUCUGUUGGCGGGCGUCGUGGAACCCCAUAUCGAGCUCCAUUCGAGGGCAGAACUUUCUAGAAGUUGUGGCCGAACUGGAUUCCGGACACAGCCUGGGUUCUAACCCUGGUUCUCCCGUGUCCUUGCUGCCGACCGUGGUCCGGUAACUUAACCUCUCUGUACCUUAGUUUCCUCAUCUGUUAUAUGGGGAAAUAGGCCGCCCCUACCAAAUGGGGUUAUGGCACACUUGUGAAGCACCGGAAAGCAGCCUGCCCCGUCUUAAGCCCUCAAUACACUGGUCUGGAACCUAACCCGCAACAUCUCUGGGGUGCACACCUGUACAGUGAAAAGAGAGUGUCUGACCUCCAGACAUGGAUAUGUUAAAUGAAGUGCUGAACAGUGACAGGAUGGUGGCCCUUCUUUCAGGAGACCAUCUGCAGAUAAAGAGUUUUAAGGGAAAGAGAAGCACCAAAAGAGAGGAGGGGACAGACAUCCCCAGUCAGCAAGCGUGUCUCAUGCCCAGGCCAAACAUUAGCAGCUUGCUUCAAAACAACAUACAUUGGAAUGUUCCAACCUCUCCUGGACUGGCCUGGGAUCAGGUGGAUAUUUUGGACAUUUUGGAAGACUCCUUAAUCUUCUCCCCUAGGGAGUUAAACUCAAAAGCCUAUGAAGCCGGGCUGAAGCAGGGCUUCAGCAAAGAGUUGCAAGCAGGCCCCUGUGCUGUGCUGUGCUGUGCUUGCUUCUUCCCCUCUUCUCUGGCUGAUGGAGAACUGUGGCAUCUGGAAGAGGAUACCAGGCUGAACCACCGACUCUUAACUCUGAUCAAGUUACUACACCUCUUGCCUGGGUUCUUCAUUUAUUAAAAUCUUUAUUUGAGAGAGAGAGAGAGAGAGAGCAAGAGAGAGAGCAUGGGGUGGGAGGAGCAGAGGGAGAAGCAGGCUCCUCACUGAGUAGGGAGCCCAACGUAAGGCUCGAUCCCAGGACCCUGGGAUCAUGACUGAGCUGAAAGCAGAUGCCUAACCUACCGAGCCACCCAGGCACCCCUGGGUUCCUCACCUAUAAAAGAAGAUGACAGGAUCACCUGCUUUCGUAGGGAGCUUGUAAGGAUUAAAUGAGCUGAUAUAUAGGAAAAACUUACCAAGAUGCUUGGUGCUAGUUCUCAGUAGUCAUUGGUUAUCGUUUGGGCUGAUUAUGAACUUUGCACAGUAUAAGAAGCAAGGAAUUAUAAGCCAGAAAUUGCAGCUUUCUGUCUAGGCUCUCUCUGCUGUUAAUGGUGUCUUUUGAGCUCUCUGGACCCAAGUUACUUACUCUGUGAAGUGAGGGAGGGCUCAUUUUUCCACCCUUGUGAACUUAAUCUUGACGCCACUCAAGAGGUUUCCCCAUUGUUCUCAAGCCCAAAUCUUGAGCAUUUUUUGCUCUCCAUUUUCUUUUCCAAAAUCUCAGCAAAUCCUGAUGUGUUUUUUUUUUUUUGGUUUGGGGUUUUUUUGUUUUUAACCCAAUGACAGCCUUAGAUUCAAUUCUUCCUAUUCUCAGCUCUGGCUCUUGCUCUCCUG